AGGAACGCUGGCGGCGUGGAUUAGGCAUGCAAGUCGAACGGUAUCAUCCUUUCGGGGGUGAGAGAGUGGCGAACUGGUGAGUAACACGUAGGUUAUCUACCUCGAAGACGGGGACAACCCAGGGAAACUUGGGCUAAUACCGGAUGUGAGCAACUUUUAGUGUUUGAAAGGUGGCGUAAGCUGUCGCUUGGGGAUGAGCCUGCGUCCUAUUAGUUAGUUGGUGAGGUAACGGCUCACCUAGGCAAUGAUAGGUAGGCGGCCUUAACGGGUGGUCGCCCACACUGGGAUUGAGAUACGGCCCAGACUCCUACGGGAGGCAGCAGUCGAGAAUAGUCUACAAUGGUCGGAAGACUGAUAGUGCGACGCCGCGUGAACGAUGAAUCCCUUCGGGGUGUAAAGUUCUUUUAUAUGUGAGCAGUGCUUCUUAUAUUAACAGUAUGGGGAGAGAGAUAUUAGCAUAUGAAUAAGCAACGGCUAACUCCGUG
Molecule: ribosomal RNA, 485 nt
Filed under: uncultured bacterium
Lineage: Bacteria
Description: bacterial SSU rRNA
Rfam family: Bacterial small subunit ribosomal RNA
Source: RNAcentral